UUGACGUUUAAAUCUUUCGUUUUCGGAAACUUCGUUGUUUCUAAAAUCAUAAACGUGCUAUAAAACCGAGACCCUCAUAACCACUUUUGACACCACCCUCACAACACCUUUCGGCACUCUUGUCGGAACGACCAUUAACAAGUCGCCGGAAGAUCGAGAAACUCACCGGAGUAAACUGCAGUCCCGGAAUUCGAAGUCGACCGGAAGUUGCUUGGAUUUGAGUCGAAGUUCGCAACACGUGUUGGUCGUCUCGUUCGGUAUACGUUCUGUCCAUCCUAUUCGUUCAGUUCUGUUGUAUUAAAAUAUAAACCUUCUUCGACAAACUUCAUAUUCAUUAAUAAAAGAAACAAUAGUCAGAACUGUUUGUUUAUAUAUUUGUUUCAAUCUAGAUUCUCUUCAAUCACGAAAAGUAUGAAAACUGUUAAUCAUUCUUCACAUACAAUAAAAACCUUAAACUUUUGUGUUCUUUGAAAAUUACAACCUUGGAAUUGGGAAUUUGUUUUAGGAAGUUCUGUCGAUUUUAAAUGAACAUCUUGUUACACAAAGAUAUACAAACCACAGGUCAUGGGAUCGAACCCAUGUGACCUGGUUUUAAAAUCUUUUCUUUUUAUUUAUUUUUUUUUUUCUUUCAUAAUAUAAUAAUAAUACAAGGAUUUAAUUACUAAAAACCCAAAUAAAGUAAAUGUUUUAUUUCAAUCUUUUUUUCAGCAUAGUAAGAUAAAGUUAUUUCUAAAUUCCAUCUUUUUAUAAUCUAACCAUAAAUAUAAUUGAUCAACAUUUAUUUCUUUUAAAAGAAAACACUAACCUAAAUAACUAUUAUAAUUCAUUUAUAACAUUUAAACCUUAAAUAUUAAUGUUAGUUAGUCGACUCGUAAACCUUAAAUAUUAAGAAUUUUUAUUAACUAGAUCGCUACGUGUUAUUCUUAACUAUUUAGGAUAAUCGUUCUAGUUCUCUUGCAUUUCUCCAAUCCUUACUCGUGCCUUAUUUCAAGAAAUACGCAACGCAAUCUAAGGUGAGUAUACAUGACCCAUUUUCUAUUUUCCACUUUUGGGUUGAUUUAUCAAGAUACAAGAAAGCAAGCUAGGAUGGCCUAGAAACUCAUUUUAGAAAUAAACUAUUGUUUGAAUUUAUAUUUGGAUGUUUGAAACUUUGUAUUAUCCUUUAGUAUCUAAUAAAAUGAUUUAAUUUAUAUUGU
This 1196-nucleotide long non-coding RNA is filed under the name Helianthus annuus (common sunflower). RNAcentral describes it as "hypothetical non coding rna". Lineage: Eukaryota; Viridiplantae; Streptophyta; Magnoliopsida; Asterales; Asteraceae. The record is from RNAcentral.